RNAcentral lists this ribosomal RNA (429 nucleotides) under Pseudomonadota bacterium. RNAcentral describes it as "Proteobacteria bacterium partial 16S ribosomal RNA". It matches the Rfam family "Bacterial small subunit ribosomal RNA", at positions 355 to 776 of the family's 1533-position model. The record is from RNAcentral. Lineage: Bacteria; Pseudomonadati; Pseudomonadota.
UGGGGAAUAUUGGACAAUGGGCGAAAGCCUGAUCCAGCCAUGCCGCGUGUGUGAAGAAGGUCUUCGGAUUGUAAAGCACUUUAUGUUGGGAGGAAGGGCAGUAAGUGAAUACCUUGCUGUUUUGACGUUACCGACAGAAUAAGCACCGGCUAACUCUGUGCCAGCAGCCGCGGUAAUACAGAGGGUGCAAGCGUUAAUCGGAAUUACUGGGCGUAAAGCGCGCGUAGGUGGUUCGUUAAGUUGAAUGUGAAAGCCCCGGGCUCAACCUGGGAACUGCUUCCCAAACUGGCGGGCUAGAGUAGGGCAGAGGGUAGUGGAAUUUCCUGUGUAGCGGUGAAAUGCGUAGAUAUAGGGAGGAACACCAGUGGCGAAGGCGACCACCUGGGCUCAUACUGACACUGAGGUGCGAAAGCGUGGGGAGCAAACAGG